This is a non-coding RNA of Canis lupus familiaris (dog), 145 nucleotides long. The record is from RefSeq and is marked provisional. Lineage: Eukaryota; Metazoa; Chordata; Mammalia; Carnivora; Canidae.
UCCAGUGGGGAGGCCCUGGUCAGGGAGGGGGCGGCCAGGGGGCUGACACGCCCCUCGUCUUCCUCAUGGGCGGACAGUCCUGAGGAAUGUCGUGUCCAGCUCCUUAGGGACCCACGGGGCUGACCAGGGCCCACCCUGCCCGCUC